GGGUAACACCGUUCCUGGAGGCAGGAGGGCUUUGGACCGGCUGGAAGGAACUUCCAGCUCCAGAGAAGCUGUGGUGGCAGAAAAGGAGCCUCCCCUUUGGGGGACAGUGGGUGACGCUGAGGGUGUCAGCGGUGCGCUUCUGCGCCCAUCAAUGCUCUGACGACUCGCGACUAGUUCCCAGAGUUUCUGCCGGCCAGGAUAUCAAUGGAUAUUAUUAAGGGAAACUUAGACGGAAUUUCAAAACCAGCCUCAAAUUCAAGAACGCGUCCUGGGAGCAGAGAUUCAAAUUCUUCUUUGGAGGUACUCUCACCAGAACCAGCGUUUUUCAAGGUUGAUACUGCAAUCAAAUUGAACUCUGGUAAAGAGGGCCACUCAGAAAGCAGUAAUACAGAGGAAAGUAGAAACAGUGAUGAUGAUAAAGGGGAAAAGCAUUCUGAGAACAUAGAACUGGCUCGAGAGCGGCCAGAUGAAGAUCUGCCGGUUCAGCGUCCGAUGCUCUCUGGACGUUCAGAUGAAGGCGAAUUGAAAGAAUUAGAUUCUCAACUUCAAGACGCUAUUCGGAAGAUGAGGAGGCUUGAUAAGAUAUUAGCGAAGAGACAAUAUAGAGAAAGAGAAAUUAAGAAGCGAGGCCUAGAAAUGAGAAUAAAGCUGUGGGAAGAACUUAAGUUUGCAAAAAACAGUGAAGAUUUGCAAAUUAAUGAGGAGACGGAAAAUACAAAAAAGUUUCUAGCUUUGACUGCUGGAUCCAAAAAAACUGUUGAUCCUUCUUGCUAUGAGCAUGAAGACUCAGUGUUUUACACUCAAGUCCCUCCAGAAGAAUAUGAAAACUGUAUACAGAUUAUCAAUCAAGAUUUUACCUAUGAUCUGGAAAGAAAUGAGUCCUUGAUCAAGGCAGAAAAGAAACCUUUCUCAAAAACAGAAAAGAUUGAGCUCAGGGGUAAACACAGCCAGGAUUUUAUUAAGCGAAACAUUGAGUUGGCCAAGAAUCCAGGAAAACCAGGGGUUAUGAUUGACAGAGAGAAGAAAAGGCUGAUGGAACUUCUGAAGGACUUGGAUGAUAGAGAUUCGGGGCUGUCCAGUUCUGAGGAAGCUGACCUUAAUGGUGAUGACAGAAACGUGGAAAUAACUCCAGGAGAAAAGGCACUUCGGUACACCAAAGAGAAUCGGGAUCAGAAAAAUCGGCUGAGAGAGAUAGAUGAAAAACUGAGAAAGAUGAAGGAAAAUGUAUUAGAUUCAACAUCACUUCUCUCUGAGGAACAGUUAAGGUGUCUUCUGGAUGAAUGUGCAUUCAAACAAAAAUCCAUGACUAGACUUUCUUCAGAAAAAGAAAAGAAAGACAUUGAGGAUAUAACACCUGAGUUGCCCCAGCUUUCCAGAUCUGUCCUUUCUGAGUUACUAAAUGGGUUAGAAGCAAAGGUCAAGAGCACUGACGUGGAAGAUGCAAGUAUGCCGGAGAAUGGAGAAGGUGAAACAUCUAGAGGCUACUAUCUCACCCAAGCCUUGACUGGGCAUUGCAUGUCACAAGCUCUUGUCACUGAAGCAGAGAAUAUGAAAUGCCUCCAAUUUUCCAAGGACAAGGUUAUUAGUGACACCAAAGACUAUUUUAUGUUGAAGACUCUUGGCAUUGGGGGACUGAAAAGGCCCUCUUUCCUGGAUGAUCCAUUGUAUGGUAGCAAUGUGAGCCUUUCAUCUGAAGACCAAAAUAUGAAAUCCAGCCCUCCAGAGAAACCAAAAACAGAUGAACAGGAGACUGAAGAUGUGACAGAAGAAUGUAAAGAAUCUUAAGCAAAGACUAACUGGGGUGCGCUUUUAAGAAAGCUGGUAAAUUAAGAAAGUCGGUAAAAAACUACAUUUUUCCCAAAUUCUUUGAAUUCAUUGAAUGCAUUAUAGAGACUAUUCCUCAAAUAAUGAUUUUAAUAUUUGUAUUCUCUCUUUCUGGAUUACAUAUCCUUGAUAUUUUUGAGACUUGUGGUAUAAUGAUUUAAUGGUUUUUCUUCAUUGAAAUUCCUGGGGAAAUUGUUUCUUAUGACUAAUCUUGCAACAUCAGGAAUACAUUAUGGAAACCAACAUUUUAUGUAUGUGUGUUAGGUUAAAACUAGUUGAAGUGCUACGAUUGUUUUGUAUUUGACUUUCUGUUACAACUCUAUUGUGAUUCAGACAGAUUUAAUCACCAUGAAUUUUUGUUUUGGCCCUGAUUUUCCUUCUUUCCUCCCCUCUAAUGCCUAUUAAGUAAGUACAACUGCCAUAGAAAGAAAUGAGUUUUCUCAAAAAAGCAAUUUAGGAUAGCCUUUACUAUCUUAUUAGCAA
This 2307-nucleotide long non-coding RNA is filed under the name Equus caballus (horse). RNAcentral describes it as "fibrous sheath interacting protein 1 (ENSECAG00000024912.3)". Lineage: Eukaryota; Metazoa; Chordata; Mammalia; Perissodactyla; Equidae. The record is from RNAcentral.